Molecule: long non-coding RNA, 376 nt
Filed under: Sorghum bicolor (sorghum)
Lineage: Eukaryota; Viridiplantae; Streptophyta; Magnoliopsida; Poales; Poaceae
Description: long non-coding RNA (SBIC_LNC003850)
Source: RNAcentral
CGCCUGAUUUGGAAGCUGAGAAUGUUGACAAGGACAAGGACAACGACAAGGGGGAGGAGGAGAAUGAGGAUUCUGCCGUGGCCGAGGUGGAGGAGCCUCAGCGUGUGGAGGUGGUGCCAGAGGAGCCACAGCGCAUUCCGUCUCCACCUCCAUUGCCACAGGAGCCACCGACCCAUCCGUCUCCACCUCCAUUGCCACAGGAGCCACCGCGCCACCAGUCUCCACCUCCAUUGCCGCAGGAGCCACCACGCCGGCUGUCCCCACCCCCGUUGCCAAAGGAGCCACCGCGCCGGCUGUCCCCACCUCCGUUGCCAAAGGAGCCACGGUGCCGUCCAACUCCACCUCCAUUGCCAAAGGAACCACAGCGGCUUCCGUU